Molecule: long non-coding RNA, 626 nt
Filed under: Vulpes vulpes (red fox)
Lineage: Eukaryota; Metazoa; Chordata; Mammalia; Carnivora; Canidae
Description: lncRNA (ENSVVUG00000026396.1)
Source: RNAcentral
UCAUCCUCAGCAACAGAGCCAAUUUUGUCUUUAUAGGGCAACCACUUUCCUAAGCAUAAAGCUGUAUGAACCUAUGGUUCCUGACUCAGAGUUAUUUUCUAUGUGUCUCCCAAGUCCAAGUUCUUUUUUUUUUUUUUUUAACCAUUACACACAACUAUUAGGAAGAAAUGAAAAGAGAACUAUGCUUGCUGAGAAAAUGGAAACAGUUUAAUACUGAGACUACAUACUUGUAAUUCUGUCCAUGGAAGUAGGCCUCAGUUUCUGUGUUCAGAUGCGUCUCCGUGCUUCUCUUCACCAGGCAGCAGGAUACAGAGUGCCACAGAAGUUUGCUUCUAUCUGCUCUGGUUCUUUACGAUUUUGUCUUAAAGUUGAACUCUCAAGAUGGCAUCACUUCCUUUAUGUUGUAAGUUCCUGUUGGGAAUGGAAAAAAGUGUCUCAUUGUGUCCCCUGUGUCUAGACAACAAUAAUCUGGACCAUCAGCUCCAGGAGCUAUGAAGUCUUAUGUCAUAGCUGCAUGCCUUCGUCUUUUCUGAGGUGCACUGCGAAUCAUCUUCAACCGUUAAUGAUCUCAGCACCCAGGCAUGUGAAUUGUGAUUCCUGAAAAAUAAAAUCAGACAGAAUCAUAA